Molecule: long non-coding RNA, 475 nt
Organism: Bos taurus (domestic cattle)
Lineage: Eukaryota; Metazoa; Chordata; Mammalia; Artiodactyla; Bovidae
Source: Ensembl
AGAUAUGGAGAAAGCAUUUUGGACUGGCCCUCCUUUCAUUGGGCGUGGUGCUCUUUCUGGCAAGCUCAGCCUGAGGACUCUGAACUGGCUAAUGCUUGAAUCCCCUGGGUGCUCCUAAGGGCUUUUUCAUUUCUGGGAGUGUGGCAGAGAGAAUGUGAUGGGAAGCUUAUGAGGUGCUGUCAGUGCCGUUAUUUCCUGUUAAAGAGCAGUGGAUACUACUGUAUAGAUGGAGAAGUCUUGAGACUACUGUAAAAAUAAGACUGAAAACCAGAAGCAGGAGGCUUAAGUCCAAAUCCUGAGAAUACCAGAGAACUUCUGACUCCAGGGAACAUUAAUCUACAGGAGCUCAUCAAACGCCUCCAUACCUACACUGAAACCAAGCACCACACAAGGGCCAACAAGUUCCAGAGCAAGACAUACCACAAAAAUUCUCCAGCAACACAGGAACACAGCCCUGAGCUUCAAUAUACAGGCU